This is a long non-coding RNA of Oncorhynchus masou masou (cherry salmon), 221 nucleotides long. RefSeq lists it as uncharacterized. The record is from RefSeq and is a predicted model, not a curated record. NCBI's taxonomy places the organism in Eukaryota, Metazoa, Chordata, Actinopteri, Salmoniformes, Salmonidae. The transcript is spliced from 3 exons.
CCCCGGACCUCCUGGACCACCGGGUAGACCCAACUCAUCCAGAUCCCCGGAUGGUGUGGACGGCUCAGGCUUUGAGUACUUUGACGGAGACACAGAGAUUAUGACAGGUCCACCUGGUCCUCCAGGGCUUCCUGGGCCCCCAGGUUCAUCUGAGGGCCUCUCUGCGUCCCCUGGGGCUCCCGGGGAAAACGGGAAGGAUGGAGAGAUGGGUAAACCUGGAC